GUGCCAGCAGCCGCGGUAAUACGAAGGGGGCGAGCGUUGUUCGGAUUUACUGGGCGUAAAGGGCGCGUAGGCGGCGGACCAAGUCGAGUGUGAAAGCCCCGGGCUCAACCUGGGAGGUGCGCUCGAGACUGGUUUGCUAGAGUCCGGGAGAGGGAUGCGGAAUUCCAGGUGUAGCGGUGAAAUGCGUAGAUAUCUGGAGGAACACCGGUGGCGAAGGCGGCAUCCUGGACCGGCAUUGACGCUGAGGCGCGAAAGCCAGGGGAGCAAACGGGAUUAGAUACCCCAGUAGUCC
Molecule: ribosomal RNA, 292 nt
Filed under: uncultured bacterium
Lineage: Bacteria
Description: partial 16S ribosomal RNA
Rfam family: Bacterial small subunit ribosomal RNA
Source: RNAcentral